Molecule: ribosomal RNA, 376 nt
Filed under: uncultured bacterium
Lineage: Bacteria
Description: bacterial SSU rRNA
Rfam family: Bacterial small subunit ribosomal RNA
Source: RNAcentral
AUACGUAGGGAGCGAGCGUUGUCCGGAAUUACUGGGUGUAAAGGGAGCGUAGGCGGGAAGGCAAGUCAGCUGUGAAAUACAUGGGCUUAACCCAUGGACUGCAGUUGAAACUGUUUUUCUUGAGUGAAGUAGAGGUAGGCGGAAUUCUGAGUGUAGCGGUGAAAUGCGUAGAUAUUCGGAGGAACACCAGUGGCGAAGGCGGCCUACUGGGCUUUAACUGACGCUGAGGCUCGAAAGUGUGGGGAGCAAACAGGAUUAGAUACCCUGGUAGUCCACACUGUAAACGAUGAUUGCUAGGUGUGGGAGGUCUGACCCCUUCCGUGCCGCAGUUAACGCAAUAAGCAAUCCACCUGGGGAGUACGAUCGCAAGAUUAAA